GCCGAUUUGGUCCUAGUCCCCCAAUUAGUUUUCUCUAAGAUGCCACAUGCAAGAAAAAUAACAAACCAGUGAAGUAACCAACUAACUUUUUUUAACUAGAAAGACAUAAAAAGAUGGUAAUUAGUAUCAAGCCCAGAAAUAAGGCUGAAGACACUAAGCAAUACGCCACACCUGCAGUGCUAAACAUUAAACAAUUAGCUGAGGCUAGAUUUAGCAAAAGAGAAAAAGGGAGGUAAAAUACGUGCCAGCCACCGCGGUUAUACGUACUUCCUUAAACUAAAAUAAACGGUUAAAAGAGCGGUUAGGAAAAAGUUUUUAGGCCUAGCCCCAAGACAGCGGUAAAAAGCUAACCUAAGAAGAAAAACACAGACCUAAAAAAUAAUCUGAACCCGCGAAAGCCAAGAGAUAAACCAGGAUUAGAUACCCUGUUAUACAUGGCCCUGAACUAACAAAGCACCAGAGGAUUACAAACUAUAAGUUUAAAACUCAAAGGACUUGGCGGUUUUCCAAACCUACCUGGAGGAGCUUGCCGUUGAAUCGAUAAUCCACGAAACACCUCACCACUCCUUGAAAACCAGCUUGUAUACCAUCGUCGUAAGUUUACUUCUUGAGAAAGUUAACAAAAAGGAACAACCCCUAGACGUCAGAUCAAGGUGCAGCUAAUGGAGUGGGAACAGGUGAGCUACAAUGCCCCAAAAAGCCAGUGAAAGUUAAACUGAAAAAUUAACGGAAAUUGGAUUCAGUAGUACUGUUUAAGAAGAAAGAUAACAGGAAAAAAGCUCUGGAAUGCGUACACAUCGCCCGUCACUCUCGUCUAGCCCAUAAGCAAGAGGAGAAAAGUCGUAACACAAUAGGCUCACCGGAAGGUGAGCCUGGAAAGC
Molecule: non-coding RNA, 881 nt
Filed under: Temnopleurus reevesii
Lineage: Eukaryota; Metazoa; Echinodermata; Echinoidea; Temnopleuroida; Temnopleuridae
Description: 12S ribosomal RNA
Rfam family: Bacterial small subunit ribosomal RNA
Source: RNAcentral